This 413-nucleotide ribosomal RNA is filed under the name Exaiptasia brasiliensis. Its description in RNAcentral is "partial large subunit ribosomal RNA". It matches the Rfam family "Bacterial large subunit ribosomal RNA", at positions 2006 to 2474 of the family's 2925-position model. Lineage: Eukaryota; Metazoa; Cnidaria; Anthozoa; Actiniaria; Aiptasiidae. The record is from RNAcentral.
GAGGGCCCCCCUGUCUUAAGAGGACUCUCCAUGAAAUUGAAUUCGUAGUGAAGAUGCUACGUCCAUAUUGUAAGACGAAAAGUCCCCAUUGAGCUUUACUAAAGACUUAUAUGGCUCGAAUAACUUAAAUAAAAAGUUUAGAUAAUGUGGGAUCCGUUUUUGGUUAAUGAGACACCACUCUUUUAUUUUAAGAGAACUAACCUUAUAGGGAGAAUGUAAGUUAGAUAGUUUGGUUGGGGCGACCACCUUUUAAAAGGUAACGAAGGUGAGCUUAAGGUCCGUAGUUAAUAGCUAGAGGCCUGACUGCAAGGGGGACAUCCCGAGCAGACACAUCCUUAAGGAUGUGGGUUAUAGUGACCCGUCAUCUUAGAGUGGAAUAGUUGACGAUCAACGAAUAAAAGCUACCAUGGGGA